Molecule: unclassified non-coding RNA, 587 nt
Filed under: Oculimacula sp. N12
Lineage: Eukaryota; Fungi; Ascomycota; Leotiomycetes; Helotiales; Ploettnerulaceae
Description: sequence contains ITS1, 5.8S rRNA gene, ITS2
Rfam family: 5.8S ribosomal RNA (bases 223-376)
Source: RNAcentral
UAUCAAUAAGCGGAGGAAAGAAAUCCUGGGGGCCACCCGACUUCGGUAGGGUUUAGAGUCGUCAGGCCUCUCGGAGAAGCCUGGUCCAGACCUCCACCCUUGAAUAAAUUACCUUUGUUGCUUUGGCAGGGCGCCUCGCGCCAGCGGCUUCGGCUGUUGAGUACCUGCCAGAGGACCACAACUCUUGUUUUUAGUGAUGUCUGAGUACUAUAUAAUAGUUAAAACUUUCAACAACGGAUCUCUUGGUUCUGGCAUCGAUGAAGAACGCAGCGAAAUGCGAUAAGUAAUGUGAAUUGCAGAAUUCAGUGAAUCAUCGAAUCUUUGAACGCACAUUGCGCCCUCUGGUAUUCCGGGGGGCAUGCCUGUUCGAGCGUCAUUAUAACCACUCAAGCUCUCGCUUGGUAUUGGGGUUCGCGGUUUCGCGGCCUCUAAAAUCAGUGGCGGUGCCUAUCGGCUCUACGCGUAGUAAUACUCCUCGCGUCUGGGUCCGGUAGGUCUACUUGCCAACAACCCCCAAUUUUUUACAGGUUGACCUCGGAUCAGGUAGGGAUACCCGCUGAACUUAAGCAUAUCAAUUAAGCGGAGCA